This 433-nucleotide unclassified non-coding RNA is filed under the name soil metagenome. RNAcentral describes it as "partial contains 5.8S ribosomal RNA, internal transcribed spacer 2, and large subunit ribosomal RNA". The stretch from base 1 to 120 matches the Rfam family "5.8S ribosomal RNA", at positions 35 to 154 of the family's 154-position model. The record is from RNAcentral.
GAUGAAGAACGCAGCGAAAUGCGAUACGUAAUGUGAAUUGCAGAAUUCAGUGAAUCAUCGAAUCUUUGAACGCAUAUUGCGCUCUCUGGUAUUCCGGAGAGCAUGCUUGUUUGAGUAUCAGUAAACACCUCAACUUCCAUAUCUUUUUUGAAAUGGGAGUUGGACUUGAGUGAUCCCAACGCUUUUCCUCACCGAAAAGUGGCGGGUUACUUGAAAUGCAGGUGCAGCUGGACUUUUCUCUGAGCUAUAAGCAUAUCUAUUUAGUCUGCCUAAAAAACAGAUUAUUACCUUUGCUGCAGCUAACAUAAAGGAGAUUAGUUCUUGUGCUGACUGAUGCAGGAUUCACAAAGCCAGGCUUCGGCCGACUUUGUAAACUCGAUCUCAAAUCAAGUAAGACUACCCGCUGAACUUAAGCAUAUCAAUAAGCGGAGGA